CGUGCGAAGGUAGCGUGAUCACUCGUCUUUUAAAUAGAGACCCGUAUGAAUGGUAAAACGAGGGCUUAGCUGUCUCCUUUUUCAUGUCAAUGAAAUUGAUCUUCCCGUGCAAAAGCGGGAAUUAUCUCAUAAGACGAGAAGACCCUGUGAAGCUUUAGACAAUAAGAUAGAUCUGGUUAAUAAACCCUAGUAAAGGAUUAAGCUUCUAACUCCUGUCUUAGCGUCUUCGGUUGGGGCGACCACGGGGAGUCACAUAACCCCCGCGUGGACUGGGUGCAAGAGUGUUUUUGUUCCUAAAGCUAAGAGCCUCCGUUCUAAUAAACAGAAUUUCUGACCUUACAAGAUCCGGCAAUGCCGAUCAACGAACCAAGUUACUCCAGGGAUAACAGCGCCAUCCUCUUUCAGAGCCCUUAUCGACAAGGGGGUUUACGACCUCGAUGUUGGAUCAGGACAUCCUAAUGGUGCAGCCGCUAUUAAGG
This 479-nucleotide ribosomal RNA is filed under the name Johnius grypotus. RNAcentral describes it as "partial large subunit ribosomal RNA". It matches the Rfam family "Bacterial large subunit ribosomal RNA", at positions 1947 to 2570 of the family's 2925-position model. The record is from RNAcentral. Lineage: Eukaryota; Metazoa; Chordata; Actinopteri; Sciaenidae.